GCGACCCAGUCACGUAUAUACGAAUGUGUAGAGAUGCUGCCCCUGUGUGAGAAUCCCCCUAUGAGUCUGCGGCGCCCCUGAUCUGUAUACUGUGUGAAGAGAUGAACAUUCUGGAUGGCCGAAGCCUAAAACUAGUUCAUGUAUAGUUUAGCGUACACUUUCGCGGCGCAGUUGAAAUCAAUUGUUGUAACUGAUUUAUCGUCGCCAUAUUUUUCUUACUUAAAAUUGAUUUGUGAUGUUGUGUGGAGGCUCAAUAUGUUGAACUACAGUCAAAUAAAGCUCUGAACUCUUAUUGGCUUCAUUAUGAGCGGAAGAAAGAGAGAAAGAAGUUACGACAAACCAUCGCAGAAUAUCACAAGGUACAUGUGUUCGCUGAUCGCGAAACAUCAGCAUCAGGUUGAAAAGAUAUAAGAAUAAACGAAAAGAGUAUUUUA
This is a long non-coding RNA of Eurytemora carolleeae, 434 nucleotides long. RefSeq lists it as uncharacterized. The record is from RefSeq and is a predicted model, not a curated record. The transcript is spliced from 2 exons. Lineage: Eukaryota; Metazoa; Arthropoda; Copepoda; Calanoida; Temoridae.